RNAcentral lists this ribosomal RNA (390 nucleotides) under Triticum aestivum (bread wheat). Its description in RNAcentral is "partial small subunit ribosomal RNA". Lineage: Eukaryota; Viridiplantae; Streptophyta; Magnoliopsida; Poales; Poaceae. The record is from RNAcentral.
AAUGCCAGUCUUCGAGAACAAUAUCCAGCCCUGUACAACAUUGCUCGCGAAAAGAAUAAUACUAUUGUGCAAGUGCUCAGUUCAUCCCCAACAAAUAUUUUGUUUAGGUGGGAUUUGAUUGGCCCCCGACUUAUGUCAUGGCACAAUCUUUUAUCCUGUCUGGAUUCGAUUAAUCUUAGACAAGGCCGGGGUGUGUUUCGCUGUAACCUCACUACAUCAGGGCCAUUCACAAUAGACUCAAUGUACCGUGCACUCACGCAUUCUGAGGUACCAGUAAGUAAUAACAAGAAAAUCUGGAAGUCAAAGAUUCCACUAAAAGUUAAAAUCUUCAUGUGGUAUCUUCGUAGAGGAGUUGUUCUAAUCAAAGACAACCUCACACGGCGCAACUAG